CCUGCGGGGGGUGAGAGGCGACCCGUCGAUGAUCGAACAGUGACUGACGUGUCGCGCCGACACCCGUGAACCGAACACAACACCAAUGUGCGAGCGAUGUCCCGCUCCUACUUCGGGCGGGCUCGCGCGCCAAUUUUUGGAAGGCCCUGUCAUGCGGGGCCUACUUGACAGUAAUCCAAGAAUAUGUUCGAUCCCCUCUCCCGCCGCCGCCUCCAUCCGCGCUAUCCUCCUCGCGUCUCCAUCGUCUCUGCUCAAGCUUCAUGUCGCUACCCACUGCAAGGGAUGAACAAAUCCGUGUUCUGUUUUUCAGGUGAGCAAAGCAUCUUUAGCAAUAGUAUCUGUAAUAUGAAUUCGUGGACAUAGACAAACUCCAUCCCAAACGGACGUUUGAUUUGGCCGGAUUUUAUCCGUUUGGGAUGGCUAUCCGGAUUUUGUCCGUUUGGGAUGGCUAUGGGCUCGUCCAUGUCUGGACCGUCUCUGUUUUGUUUGUUGGGUCGUGCGUGCGUCUAUCGCGUUUGGGAUGGCUAUGGGCUUGUCCAUGUCUGGACCGUCUCUGUUUGUUGGGUCGUGCGUGCGUCUAUCGCGC
Molecule: long non-coding RNA, 586 nt
Filed under: Hordeum vulgare
Lineage: Eukaryota; Viridiplantae; Streptophyta; Magnoliopsida; Poales; Poaceae
Description: long non-coding RNA (HVUL_LNC009168)
Source: RNAcentral